RNAcentral lists this ribosomal RNA (434 nucleotides) under uncultured Oscillibacter sp. RNAcentral's name for it is "bacterial SSU rRNA". It matches the Rfam family "Bacterial small subunit ribosomal RNA", at positions 341 to 792 of the family's 1533-position model. Lineage: Bacteria; Bacillati; Bacillota; Clostridia; Eubacteriales; Oscillospiraceae. The record is from RNAcentral.
ACGGGAGGCAGCAGUGGGGAAUAUUGGGCGAUGGGCGCAAGCCUGACCCAGCAACGCCGCGUGAAGGAAGAAGGCUUUCGGGUUGUAAACUUCUUUUGUCAGGGAAGAGUAGAAGACUGUACCUGGCGAAUAAGCCACGGCUAACUACGUGCCAGCAGCCGCGGUAAUACGUAGGUGGCAAGCGUUGUCCGGAUUUACUGGGUGUAAAGGGCGUAGCCGGGUCGGUAAGUCAGAUGUGAAAUCUACGGGCUUAACUCGUAAACUGCAUUUGAAACUGCUGAUCUUGAGUAUCGGAGAGGCAAUCGGAAUUCCUAGUGUAGCGGUGAAAUGCGUAGAUAUUAGGAGGAACACCAGUGGCGAAGGCGGCUUUCUGGACAGUAACUGACGCUGAGGCGCGAAAGUGUGGGGAGCAAACAGGAUUAGAUACCCUGGUA